GGGGAAUAUUGGACAAUGGGCGCAAGCCUGAUCCAGCCAUGCCUCGUGGGUGAAGAAGGCCUUCGGGUUGUAAAGCCCUCUUGUUGGGCAAGAAAAGCAGCCGGACAAUACCUGGUUGUCCCGACGGUACCCAACGAAUAGGCACAGGACAACCUCGAGCCAUCAGCCGCUGUAAUACGAAGGGUGCAAACGUUACUCGGAAUUACGGGCGUAAAGCGUGCGUAGGGGUGGUUUAAGUCCGUUGUGAAAGCCCUGGGCUCAACCUGGGAACUGCAGUGGAUACUGCAUCACUAGAGUGUGGCAGAGGGUAGUGGAAUUCCCGGUGUAGCAGUGAAAUGCGUAGAGAUCGCGAGGAACAUCAGUGGCGAGGGCGACUGCCUGGCCCAACACUGACACUGAGGCACGAAAGCGUGGGGAGCAAACA
This 424-nucleotide ribosomal RNA is filed under the name uncultured Lysobacteraceae bacterium. Its description in RNAcentral is "bacterial SSU rRNA". It matches the Rfam family "Bacterial small subunit ribosomal RNA", at positions 356 to 774 of the family's 1533-position model. The record is from RNAcentral. Lineage: Bacteria; Pseudomonadati; Pseudomonadota; Gammaproteobacteria; Lysobacterales; Lysobacteraceae.